UGGGGAAUAUUGCACAAUGGGGGGAACCCUGAUGCAGCGACGCCGCGUGAAGGAAGAAGUAUCUCGGUAUGUAAACUUCUAUCAGCAGGGAAGAAAAUGACGGUACCUGACUAAGAAGCCCCGGCUAACUACGUGCCAGCAGCCGCGGUAAUACGUAGGGGGCAAGCGUUAUCCGGAUUUACUGGGUGUAAAGGGAGCGUAGACGGAAGAGCAAGUCUGAUGUGAAAGGCUGGGGCUUAACCCCAGGACUGCAUUGGAAACUGUUGUUCUAGAGUGCCGGAGAGGUAAGCGGAAUUCCUAGUGUAGCGGUGAAAUGCGUAGAUAUUAGGAGGAACACCAGUGGCGAAGGCGGCUUACUGGACGGUAACUGACGUUGAGGCUCGAAAGCGUGGGGAGCAAACAGG
This 404-nucleotide ribosomal RNA is filed under the name Acidobacteriota bacterium. RNAcentral's name for it is "Acidobacteria bacterium partial 16S ribosomal RNA". It matches the Rfam family "Bacterial small subunit ribosomal RNA", at positions 355 to 776 of the family's 1533-position model. The record is from RNAcentral. Lineage: Bacteria; Pseudomonadati; Acidobacteriota.